AGCUUUGUUUACUCAGGUGCAAGCGGACGUGUACGCUCGUGUACCCGCCAGGAGGGACCGACACUAGGUCUGGCGGCAGUUCGGCGAAUCAGGAGCCAGUUCGAUCGGGGGAAAGGAAAAAGAACAACGUUUUAAUGAAGCGCUAAAAUUUGACUGUUUUAAAAUCGAUUCGGGUAACGCCGGUAACACCGCUGGAGUUGACGACCGACCGAUGGGUUUGUGAUGUUCGCAGCCGGGUAAAGGAUUUACCGGUCCUUAAGUGUGUGUGUGUGUGCGAAUGAAACGGUGUGAAACGGGGAUGAGGGCCGUUGGAAUGGAACAGGAAAGGGUUCCUGUUUGCUUUUUUGAUUAUAUAUUAAUCAGUUACAUUAGCAAUUUACUCGAUACACUGCUGCAACGUUUCUUUCACUUUCACAACGAAACAUCGCUUGAAAAACUGUCCAAAGAGAUGGAAGAAUUUAAGAGUGUCCCUGGUGGCAGCUUGCGUGGGAAAAGCCGAUCCGAUUGCUCACACCGCUCGCUCCUACACUUCCAUCAACGUACCGUGGCCACGUCCUGUCAGAAACCUCAACCAAACAUCGCUCUACUAGCUCCGGUCGUACGUCGGUAACGCUUCGUAACGCUCCAUAACGCAUCGUUCAAGCGCAAGCUCGUGCGCACGUGAUCGUGAAGAGAAUCGUAAAGAGCGAAGCCGUGUGCUGCGUUUGAAAAAGUGCUGUUGUCGGAAUUGUUGGCAACAGUUCAACUUCCUUUCCCACUCAAUUCAUUGGCGCGCGCGUUGACUGUCGAACACGAAAAACGAAAAGGAGCAAAAGAAUUUCCGACAGCCUUAUAGCAAAUGUGUCACAUUUGUGGCCAGUUGCUAACUUGAGUUUUUUUAGAUUUUGUUUCUUAUAUUCCGUGUGCGGUAUUUGUUUAUUGUUCUUUUAAAGUGUUUUAAUGUUGUGUAAAUGAAAAAGUUUUUAAAGUGAAUGGAAGGGGACGCUAUGAAAAGUAGCUCUCAAAAGUGAUCCACAGUAGAUUAUGAUUCUGAAAGUUUGUCCCAGCUCCAAAGUGUACACAGUGAGCACCAUUAUAGUGGCGAUUGGUCUUCCGACAACGACAAAUAAGUAAGAACAUCAGUGAUUGAUCGGUAGUUCAAAGUAGUUUGCUUCCGUGCUUUGCUUUAAGGUGUUUACCGCCGCAUUUGUGUUGGUGUUUAGUGUCGGGUGCUUAGGGCAAGAACGUAUAACAAGUGUGGUGAGGUGACAUUAUCACCUCGGUUUGAUUUGCUUCGUGUAAUCAGUCAGCGUUAGUCAUCAUAGCUUCCAAAACGGCAUCCGGUAGCGGUUGGCGAGCAAGCAGCAAGGUGUCCCAGGA
Molecule: long non-coding RNA, 1359 nt
Organism: Anopheles merus
Lineage: Eukaryota; Metazoa; Arthropoda; Insecta; Diptera; Culicidae
Exons: 4
Source: RefSeq, a predicted model, not a curated record